GUCGAGUUGUUUGGGAAUGCAGCUCAAAAUGGGUGGUAAAUUUCAUCUAAAGCUAAAUACUGGCCAGAGACCGAUAGCGCACAAGUAGAGUGAUCGAAAGAUGAAAAGCACUUUGAAAAGAGAGUUAAACAGUAUGUGAAAUUGUUGAAAGGGAAGCGCUUACAACCAGACUUGAGCCCGUCGGUUCCCCCUCGCUUCUGCGUGGGCUACUCCGGCGGGUCCAGGCCAACAUCGGUUCGGGUGGCUGGUCAAAGGCCCCGGGAAUGUACCUCACCUUCGGGUUAGGCUUAUAGCCCGGGGUGUCAUGCGGCCUACCUGGACCGAGGAACGCGCUUCGGCUCGGAUGUUGGCGUAAUGGUUGUCAGCGACCCGUCUUGAAACACGGACCAAGGAGUCGAAGAGCUAUGCGAGUGUUUGGGUGUCAAACCCGUACGCGUAAUGAAAGUGAACGGAGGUAGGAAGCUUCGGCUGCACUAUCGACCGAUCCUGAUGUUCUCGGAUGGAUUUGAGUAAGAGCAUAACUCUCCGGACCCGAAAGAUGGUGAACUAUGCCUGAAUAGGGUGAAGCCAGAGGAAACUCUGGUGGAGGCUCGCAGCGGUUCUGACGUGCAAAUCGAUCGUCAAAUUUGGGUAUAGGGGCGAAAGACUAAUCGAACCAUCUGGUAGCUGGUUCCUGCCGAAGUUUCCCUCAGGAUAGCAGUAACGUUUUCAGUUUUAUGAGGUAAAGCGAAUGAUUAGAGGCCUUGGGGUUGAAACAACCUUAACCUAUUCUCAAACUUUAAAUAUGUAAGAAGUCCUUGUUACUUAGUUGAACGUGGACAUUUGAAUGUAUCGUUACUAGUGGGCCAUUUUUGGUAAGCAGAACUGGCGAUGCGGGAUGAACCGAACGUGAGGUUAAGGUGCCGGACUGCACGCUCAUCAGACACCACAAAAGGUGUCAAUGCAUCUAGACAGCCGGACGGUGGCCAUGGAAGUCGGAAUCCGCUUAGGAGUGUGUAACAACUCACCGGCCGAAUGCAUUGGCCCUGAAAAUGGAUGGCGCUUAAGCGUGCGACCUAUACCUCGCCGUCAGGGUUGACAUGAUGCCCUGACGAGUAGGCAGGCGUGGAGGUUUGUGACGAAGCCUUGGGGGUGACCCCGGGUCGAACAACCUCUAG
This 1157-nucleotide ribosomal RNA is filed under the name Chaetothyriales sp. RNAcentral's name for it is "eukaryotic LSU rRNA". It matches the Rfam family "Eukaryotic large subunit ribosomal RNA", at positions 264 to 1442 of the family's 3401-position model. The record is from RNAcentral. Lineage: Eukaryota; Fungi; Ascomycota; Eurotiomycetes; Chaetothyriales.